UAAGGAAUAUUGGUCAAUGGACGCAAGUCUGAACCAGCCAUGCCGCGUGGAGGAUGAAGGUCCUCUGGAUUGUAAACUUCUUUUAUUUGGGAAGAAACCACCGAUUUCUAUUGGUGUUGACGGUACCAGAUGAAUAAGCACCGGCUAACUCCGUGCCAGCAGCCGCGGUAAUACGGAGGGUGCAAGCGUUAUCCGGAUUCACUGGGUUUAAAGGGUGCGUAGGCGGGUUGGUAAGUCCGUGGUGAAAUCUCCAAGCUUAACUUGGAAACUGCCGUGGAUACUAUCAAUCUUGAAUAUAGUGGAGGUGAGCGGAAUAUGUCAUGUAGCGGUGAAAUGCUUAGAUAUGACAUAGAACACCCAUUGCGAAGGCAGCUCGCUACACUAUUAUUGACGCUGAGGCACGAAAGCGUGGGGAUCAAACA
This 422-nucleotide ribosomal RNA is filed under the name uncultured Puia sp. RNAcentral's name for it is "bacterial SSU rRNA". It matches the Rfam family "Bacterial small subunit ribosomal RNA", at positions 355 to 774 of the family's 1533-position model. Lineage: Bacteria; Pseudomonadati; Bacteroidota; Chitinophagia; Chitinophagales; Chitinophagaceae. The record is from RNAcentral.